UGAGGAAUAUUGGUCAAUGGGCGAGANNUGAACCAGCCAAGUCGCGUGAAGGAUGACUGUCUUAUGGAUUGUAAACUUCUUUUAUACGGGAAUAACAAGAGUCACGUGUGACUCCCUGCAUGUACCGUAUGAAUAAGCAUCGGCUAACUCCGUGCCAGCAGCCGCGGUAAUACGGAGGAUGCGAGCGUUAUCCGGAUUUAUUGGGUUUAAAGGGUGCGUAGGCGGCCUGUUAAGUCAGCGGUGAAAUCUAGGAGCUUAACUCCUAAAUUGCCAUUGAUACUGGCGGGCUUGAGUGUAGAUGAGGUAGGCGGAAUGCGUGGUGUAGCGGUGGAAUGCAUAGAUAUCACGCAGAACUCCGAUUGCGAAGGCAGCUUACUAAGGUACAACUGACGCUGAAGCACGAAAGCGUGGGUAUCAAACAGGAUUAGAUACCCUGGUAGUCCACGCAGUAAACGAUGAUAACUGGGCGUAUGCGAUAUACAGUAUGCUCCUAAGCGAAAGCGUUAAGUUAUCCACCUGGGGAGUACGCCGGCAACGGUG
This 540-nucleotide ribosomal RNA is filed under the name uncultured bacterium. Its description in RNAcentral is "bacterial SSU rRNA". It matches the Rfam family "Bacterial small subunit ribosomal RNA", at positions 355 to 896 of the family's 1533-position model. The record is from RNAcentral.